This 500-nucleotide ribosomal RNA is filed under the name uncultured bacterium. Its description in RNAcentral is "partial 16S ribosomal RNA". It matches the Rfam family "Bacterial small subunit ribosomal RNA", at positions 28 to 523 of the family's 1533-position model. The record is from RNAcentral.
GACGAACGCUGGCGGCGUGCUUAACACAUGCAAGUCGAACGGCAGCACGGGAGCAAUCCUGGUGGCGAGUGGCGAACGGGUGAGUAAAGUAUCGGAACGUGCCCAGUCGUGGGGGAUAACGUAGCGAAAGUUACGCUAAUACCGCAUACGAUCUAUGGAUGAAAGCGGGGGAUCGCAAGACCUCGCGCGAUUGGAGCGGCCGAUAUCAGAUUAGGUAGUUGGUGGGGUAAAGGCUCACCAAGCCGACGAUCUGUAGCUGGUCUGAGAGGACGACCAGCCACCCGGGGACUGAGACACGGCCCAGACUCCUACGGGAGGCAGCAGUGGGGAAUUUUGGACAAUGGGCGAAAGCCUGAUCCAGCCAUGCCGCGUGCAGGAUGAAGGCCUUCGGGUUGUAAACUGCUUUUGUACGGAACGAAAAGGUUUGGCCUAAUAAGCUGAGCUCAUGACGGUACCGUAAGAAUAAGCACCGGCUAACUACGUGCCAGCAGCCGCCGUAA